RNAcentral lists this ribosomal RNA (449 nucleotides) under uncultured bacterium. Its description in RNAcentral is "bacterial SSU rRNA". It matches the Rfam family "Bacterial small subunit ribosomal RNA", at positions 29 to 523 of the family's 1533-position model. The record is from RNAcentral.
AACGAACGCUGGCGGCAGGCCUAACACAUGCAAGUCGAACGCCCUCUUCGGAGGGAGUGGCAGACGGGUGAGUAACGCGUGGGAAUCUACCUAGUGGUGGAGGAUAACUUCGGGAAACCGGAGCUAAUACUCCAUAAGCCCUUCGGGGGAAAGUUUUUUCGCCAUUAGAUGAGCCCGCGUUAGAUUAGCUUGUUGGUAGGGUAAUGGCCUACCAAGGCGACGAUCUAUAGCUGGUCUGAGAGGAUGAUCAGCCACACUGGAACUGAGACACGGUCCAGACUCCUACGGGAGGCAGCAGUGGGGAAUAUUGCACAAUGGGCGCAAGCCUGAUGCAGCCAUGCCGCGUGUGUGAUGAAGGCCUUAGGGUUGUAAAACACUUUCAUCGGUGAAGAUAAUGACGGUAGCCGAAGAAGAAGCCCCGGCUAACUCCGUGCCAGCAGCCGCGGUAA